This 1079-nucleotide ribosomal RNA is filed under the name Limosilactobacillus fermentum. RNAcentral's name for it is "bacterial SSU rRNA". It matches the Rfam family "Bacterial small subunit ribosomal RNA", at positions 332 to 1404 of the family's 1533-position model. The record is from RNAcentral. Lineage: Bacteria; Bacillati; Bacillota; Bacilli; Lactobacillales; Lactobacillaceae.
CAAAUUCUUCGGGGGGGCAGCAGUAGGGAAUUUUCCCCAAUGGGCGCAAGCCUGAUGGAGCAACACCGCUUGAAUGAAGAAGGGUUUCGGCUCGUAAAGCUCUGUUGUUAAAGAAGAACAUGUUUGAGAGUAACUGUUCAUACGUUGACGGUAUUUAACCAGAAAGUCACGGCUAACUACGUGCCAGCAGCCGCGGUAAUACGUAGGUGGCAAGCGUUAUCCGGAUUUAUUGGGCGUAAAGAGAGUGCAGGCGGUUUUCUAAGUCUGAUGUGAAAGCCUUCGGCUUAACCGGAGAAGUGCAUCGGAAACUGGAUAACUUGAGUGCAGAAGAGGGUAGUGGAACUCCAUGUGUAGCGGUGGAAUGCGUAGAUAUAUGGAAGAACACCAGUGGCGAAGGCGGCUACCUGGUCUGCAACUGACGCUGAGACUCGAAAGCAUGGGUAGCGAACAGGAUUAGAUACCCUGGUAGUCCAUGCCGUAAACGAUGAGUGCUAGGUGUUGGAGGGUUUCCGCCCUUCAGUGCCGGAGCUAACGCAUUAAGCACUCCGCCUGGGGAGUACGACCGCAAGGUUGAAACUCAAAGGAAUUGACGGGGGCCCGCACAAGCGGUGGAGCAUGUGGUUUAAUUCGAAGCUACGCGAAGAACCUUACCAGGUCUUGACAUCUUGCGCCAACCCUAGAGAUAGGGCGUUUCCUUCGGGAACGCAAUGACAGGUGGUGCAUGGUCGUCGUCAGCUCGUGUCGUGAGAUGUUGGGUUAAGUCCCGCAACGAGCGCAACCCUUGUUAUUAGUUGCCAGCAUUAAGUUGGGCACUCUAGUGAGACUGCCGGUGACAAACCGGAGGAAGGUGGGGACGACGUCAGAUCAUCAUGCCCCUUAUGACCUGGGCUACACACGUGCUACAAUGGACGGUACAACGAGUCGCGAACUCGCGAGGGCAAGCAAAUCUCUUAAAACCGUUCUCAGUUCGGACUGCAGGCUGCAACUCGCCUGCACGAAGUCGGAAUCGCUAGUAAUCGCGGAUCAGCAUGCCGCGGUGAAUACGUUCCCGGGCCUUGUACACACCGCCCGUCACACCA